GUAGGUGGCAAGCGUUGUCCGGAAUUAUUGGGCGUAAAGCGCGCGCAGGCGGUUCUUUAAGUCUGAUGUGAAAGCCCACGGCUCAACCGUGGAGGGUCAUUGGAAACUGGAGAACUUGAGUACAGAAGAGGAAAGCGGAAUUCCACGUGUAGCGGUGAAAUGCGUAGAGAUGUGGAGGAACACCAGUGGCGAAGGCGGCUUUCUGGUCUGUAACUGACGCUGAGGCGCGAAAGCGUGGGGAGCAAACAGGAUUAGAUACCCUGGUAGUCCACGCCGUAAACGAUGAGUGCUAAGUGUUAGGGGGUUUCCGCCCCCCUUAGUGCUGCAGCUAACGCAUUAAGCACUCGCCCUGGGAUACGGCCGCAAGGCUG
RNAcentral lists this ribosomal RNA (371 nucleotides) under uncultured organism. RNAcentral describes it as "partial 16S ribosomal RNA". It matches the Rfam family "Bacterial small subunit ribosomal RNA", at positions 527 to 896 of the family's 1533-position model. The record is from RNAcentral.